RNAcentral lists this long non-coding RNA (512 nucleotides) under Brassica napus (rape). RNAcentral's name for it is "long non-coding RNA (BNAP_LNC020081)". The record is from RNAcentral. Lineage: Eukaryota; Viridiplantae; Streptophyta; Magnoliopsida; Brassicales; Brassicaceae.
AAUUUAAUAAUUUUUCUAUGGAUAGUCCAAAUAGAAAAAUCACACAUGAAAUAAGUCAUAACUUCUAUGACUUCUAUUUUAAUAGUAUAGAUAGAUACGUGUAUAUAUUGACAGCCGCAAAUGAAACUAAACGUUUCAACCUCUACUCUUAUAUGCAAAUUAUUUUAAAAAGCAUGCGUCUUAAAUUUAUGAAUUUUAAAAUCCGUUAUAGUUAAAACAAAUAAUUAAGCUGCUAUGAUCUGAAAGAUAACGCAUGACAACGUUUUAAAAUGUAGCAAGCUCGAAAACAACGUCCUUUCUGACUAAAUAAUACUAGUACUAUACACAGGCAGGCAAAUGUCUCUUUUUCCAAAAAAAUUUUCAGUUAGUAUAAACUAUAAGUAAUAUCUAUAUAUGGAACGUACAAGAAUUUGGAGGGAAAUAGGACGUCAUAAAAUGUUGAACUUCCACGAAAUGAUAGAUUUUUUCUCGAUCUAUACAUUCAAUAAGAGACUGCCACCCAUAAAUGCUAC